UUUUGUCAGUUGGGCCUGAAGCUCCAGGACUUAUGCUGGUCCUGGCACCAAUGAGGACAGAAAUGAUUGAGUGCAUGAAUUUGGUUGAAAUUGAUUUUUACUUCUCUGCAGCUAAGUAUGUGGCAGUCUUGGCCACAUGGUGACUCAGCAGAGGGGCCUAUGUAUUGGCUGUCCUGAUGCUCUUCCUGAUUCAACUGAUUCUCUACACUUGAUCUUAACCAAAAGGCUGAGAAGUGAUGAUUCAACUGAUUCUCAAAAGGACACCACUGUAGGAAUAAACCCACUUCUAAAUACGGUACACUUGGAAAAUUGUCCAGCUCGCAAUGUCAGAGUCACAGACUUCAUGCACACUCAUCUCAAGUCAAUGUUAUCUAACACGUUUCCGCUAAUUAUUGGAUAGCACUAGCAAGAAACUCUGAUAUUUUUCACCUAACCUUUGCUAAUUUAAAUGUGGCCAGCCCACCCUCAUACUGCAUUGUGAUGGGGAUAUAAAAGCCAAUGAAAGAUAUCA
Molecule: long non-coding RNA, 511 nt
Filed under: Pongo abelii (Sumatran orangutan)
Lineage: Eukaryota; Metazoa; Chordata; Mammalia; Primates; Hominidae
Description: lincRNA
Source: RNAcentral